Molecule: long non-coding RNA, 323 nt
Organism: Bactrocera tryoni
Lineage: Eukaryota; Metazoa; Arthropoda; Insecta; Diptera; Tephritidae
Exons: 3
Source: RefSeq, a predicted model, not a curated record
UACGUGUUGCUGCUGCGACGACAAUUAGAUUCCAAUUUCGAAUUCCAAUCAGUUUCAACAUCCGCCGACUCACAUUUCCCAGCCGGGAUUUUAUAUUUGAGGUGCACACAAAUGCAAAAGGACGUAAUAUUUUUAAGUGCUUCGUUCGGUAGGCACUUCACAAAUUGCAUAGCAAAAUCCGGCGCCAGUACCAGCGAUUUUGCAAGGUCCGGGGAGUUGAAUUCGCGUAGGUUUUCCGUGCCAUCAUUACCGCAGUUACCAUGUUCAUUCCAACCCCAUGUGUACACUUCACCAUUCGUGCUACGUAAAAGACCAUGUUCAGA